RNAcentral lists this ribosomal RNA (391 nucleotides) under uncultured bacterium. Its description in RNAcentral is "bacterial SSU rRNA". It matches the Rfam family "Bacterial small subunit ribosomal RNA", at positions 8 to 425 of the family's 1533-position model. The record is from RNAcentral.
AGAGUUUGAUCAUGGCUCAGAGUGAACGCUGGCGGCGUGCUUAACACAUGCAAGUCGAACGGGGUAGCAAUACCUAGUGGCGCACGGGUGAGUAAUGCAUAGGUUACCUGCCUCCAUAGUCUGGGACAACAGUUGGAAACGACUGCUAAUACCGGAUAUUCCCUACGGGGGAAAGAUUUAUUGCUAUGAGAUGGGCCUAUGUCCUAUCAGCUUGUUGGUGAGGUAAUGGCUCACCAAGGCUAUGACGGGUAGCUGGUCUGAGAGGAUGAUCAGCCACACUGGAACUGAGACACGGUCCAGACUCCUACGGGAGGCAGCAGUGGGGAAUAUUGCACAAUGGGGGAAACCCUGAUGCAGCAACGCCGCGUGGAGGAUGACGCAUUUCGGUGUG